GCUACAGCAAAUGCAUGCAUUAAUUGUAGGACAGGAGUCAUGGACGUAUCGUUUGGGAAUAAGAAACUGAGACUAAAUGUGUUUGGUGCUUCCCAAGGACCAUCAAUGGAUAGUUGCUUCGAAGUAGAUACACUAGAAGAUAUUAUAGAAGAUGCAACACCCAUAAUUCUAGCACCAGAACCCUUAGAUACUUGCUUGGCUCACUUUGGAGUGUAUGACUUU
This 222-nucleotide long non-coding RNA is filed under the name Elaeis guineensis (African oil palm). RNAcentral's name for it is "long non-coding RNA (EGUI_LNC075590)". Lineage: Eukaryota; Viridiplantae; Streptophyta; Magnoliopsida; Arecales; Arecaceae. The record is from RNAcentral.